AUGGGCAGGGCUGGCUUGUCCCCGGGCGUCAGAGCUCCUGGAACAUUCACUCUUGGAAAGAACACACUGCACAAAAAUAGCAGCCUGGUGCCGAUGAACAUAUGCUGCUUCCCGGGGGGCGGCAGGGAGGGGCCAAGGCCCCUGAUGGGCUCAGGGCUGGAGGUUUCGCCGCUCCCCGGGAGGGCGUCUGUGUCGCCAGCACUGACUGGAGAUGGCAGACGGGCUUAUGAGGCACCUACUGUGUGCCAUUUACCUCUGUCUGUGGCCUGUGGCUUCCUGAGGACCUGCGGGCAGGCCGUGCUGCUGUCCUUCCUCCAGGAGGCUUGCGGUUGGACGGGGAGCUCAGAGAGGACCACCCGAACUGCUGUCCUUCCCCAGAAACCACUGCCCCCACCGGGAGAGAUGGGCCGUCCCCAUCUGUGGGUGGCAGCUCAGGCCUGGACCCGGAGACCCGUCUGCUGGAGGCGGGGAGGCUGGGGUGCCGACCCCCGAAGGAGCCAGCCCCACGCAGGAUGCUUCUCAGGCUUUGAUCAGCCAACUCCAUGCUGGCUGGGGAACUGAAGUGGAGCCCCCUUGAAAGGCGGAUGGGCCCCUUGCCCUUUCGGAAGCCAACACGUUUGAAGGGACCUGGAAUCUGAUUGUUCGCCGAUGGAGGCCAAGCUGCCGCACAUGUAAAUUUCCAAUUAAAACAGAAAUUAAUCCUCUCCCCCAACUACCUGCUAUCUCCAGCCGGAUGAGCAAAAGUUUUAUUCUGCUAAUUAAUGUUAUCACCCGUUAGCUUUAUUUACAUAAGCAGAUAUAAUUCACAUGGCUUUGCAGAAGCUGAUGGGGAAACUUAAAAAAAUUUUUUUUUAAGUUAAAAAAAUUAAUUACCUUGAUCCUCCCUCUUGUAUUCUAAUCACAGACUUGCAGCGUUCCUCUUUGGUGCUCCCCGAAACCCCUGGGUUGGCUCCUUCUUUGAUGAGUGGGAGCUUGUUCCAAAUGGAGAGAGAAGAAGUUGAAAAUUGAGCAGCUUGGAGGGGAAGCCAGUACCAGUCUUCAUAUGAAAGGCCCGAUGGAUGUGAUAAUUAUUUACGGUUUCUGGCUUUGGGUGUUUUUGUUACCCAGUUAAAUAGACUCCAAAUACCACAUUAAAAUCUUGCAAAGAUCCUGGCAGAUUAAUAAAUCACAGCAACUGCUCUGGCA
This 1185-nucleotide long non-coding RNA is filed under the name Bos indicus x Bos taurus (hybrid cattle). RNAcentral's name for it is "lncRNA (ENSBIXG00005030659.1)". The record is from RNAcentral. Lineage: Eukaryota; Metazoa; Chordata; Mammalia; Artiodactyla; Bovidae.